Molecule: ribosomal RNA, 487 nt
Filed under: uncultured bacterium
Lineage: Bacteria
Description: partial 16S ribosomal RNA
Rfam family: Bacterial small subunit ribosomal RNA
Source: RNAcentral
GACGAACGCUGGCGGCGUGCUUAACACAUGCAAGUCGAACGCGCCUGUCCUCUGGGUUUCUGGGGGGUGGGUGAGUGGCGAACGGGUGAGUAACACGUGAGUAACCUGCCCCCUUCUUCGGGAUAACGGUCUGAAAGGGCUGCUAAUACCGGGUAUUCACUGGUCUCCGCAUGGGGUCUGGUGGAAAGGUUUUUUUCUGGUGGGGAUGGGCUCGCGGCCUAUCAGCUUGUUGGUGGGGUGAUGGGCCACCAAGGCUUUGACGGGUAGCCGGCCUGAGAGGGUGACCGGUCACAUUGGGACUGAGAUACGGCCCAGACUCCUACGGGAGGCAGCAGUGGGGAAUAUUGCACAAUGGGCGCAAGCCUGAUGCAGCGACGCCGCGUGAGGGAUGGAGGCCUUCGGGUUGUGAACCUCUUUCGCCCGUGGUCAAGCCGCGACGUGGGUCGUGGUGAGGGUAGUGGGUAAAGAAGCGCCGGCUAACUACGUG